ACCCGUGGGGGUCUUUCCGCCCCUUUCGGGGAGACGUUGCGGGCAGCGUGUGUGGCCGGACGGGGCACCCGUCCCGCGGGGCUGCAGGAUCAGCCGCCCCGCCGCAGCCCCACUUUGUUCCCCCGCUCCGCGGGGCGCGGAGAAAGGCGCGGGGGGCGCGGAUCCAUCUCCCGCCGCCUCAGGAUGCCAGACCGCCCCGCGGGGGGAGGGAGGAGGGAAAACAUCAAAAAACGGAAAGGGUUUGGAGUUUCGUUAAGAAACAAGCGAAACAAAACGCUGAGUUAAAAGAAUAAAAUAAAAGCCAAGAACUUGGACCAAAACCCCAGAGGGAACCCCCCCGCACGUAACUCCGGGAGAUCCUGCUGUCCCGCUCCGCUGCCCAGCGCGGUCCCGGCUCGCCGCAAGCCAGUCCUGCUCUCCAAGGGCUCCCAGACCUGCUGCUCCUUUGCGCCACUGGUAAUGCACUGUUCGGAAGUAGGACAAGACCUGCCCAUGUUCAGCAAUGGGAGUCACAGUGAGCAGAAGCAAUUAGCUAAACUCUGUGCAAAGGUCCCUUUCCAACUGGUUUGUGAAGAGCCCUUUUUACAUGGGAUAUAUGCUCUUUUCUAGGGUGGGAGAGAGAUCAGUUCCCUUCUUUGACUGAUUUCUUAUUCUGAACUGCACAGGCCAUGCUGGAGGAGUUGAGGCAUUGGCUCACCAAACUGGAAAGAAUACAGGCAGUGAGAUCUUGUCUUGGGUGAAAGAAGAGUUAACGCAGCUGGCAAAGGAGAAAAACAUCAGAAGAAAACAUAUUGACAAAGCUAAUAAAAUCCAGACAUGUGCAAUCUAAAAUCUCAAAUGUGAUUCAAGCCUACUCAACAAAAAAUGGCCUGGGAUGGCAAACAGCACCAGAAAGCUCAAGAAGUAUCUGUACUGGCCAAGUCUGGAAAUGACCACAAGAAUUUUGUUCAAAAAAUCGUUGGUGGCUCACAGCCUUUAAAUGUUUCUAAGAACAGACUUAAAUUUCUAAACCCCAAGAUGAAAGUUCAAAUUCUUAUACACAUAAUUUAAAGUAAGCUACAAUGAAAGAAGUGUGAGCCUGUAAAUGAGGAGUUUCAAAUGAAAGAGGUGGUUGAAGCAUUUUGACCCUAUUCAAUCAAGGUCGGUUUUCCCCUGAAUUAUAUCUGUUUCCUUGUCUAGCAUUUUAGAUACCUUCCAAGUGUCUAUCGACGAGAGUUUAUAAGUGGCAUUCAACAAUGAAGAAGAAAGCAAGCUGCUCACAAAGCUCCCCCUUUCCCCAUGUGAUAAAAAGCACUGUUCCAGGGGAAAAGAAAAAAGAGUGUUUGGGUCCCAGUCAUAAGUGCCUAUGGGAAAGGAGUGGUGAAAAGAGGCCAACAACUCCAGGAAACAGGGACAGGAGGGAAGAGCACAAAUCAGCUUUAUGAGCUAGCAAAUGAUGGAUGGCUAAAUGCCAGCUGAGAGAAUUAUAUACAAUUGAGUUUGUAUUGUUGCAAUUAUUAAAGGUUUUUUUACUUUUAA
Phalacrocorax carbo (great cormorant) is the source of this 1518-nucleotide non-coding RNA. The record is from RefSeq and is a predicted model, not a curated record. NCBI's taxonomy places the organism in Eukaryota, Metazoa, Chordata, Aves, Suliformes, Phalacrocoracidae.